RNAcentral lists this ribosomal RNA (368 nucleotides) under Streptomyces sp. Its description in RNAcentral is "bacterial SSU rRNA". It matches the Rfam family "Bacterial small subunit ribosomal RNA", at positions 86 to 455 of the family's 1533-position model. Lineage: Bacteria; Bacillati; Actinomycetota; Actinomycetes; Kitasatosporales; Streptomycetaceae. The record is from RNAcentral.
GGUGGAUUAGUGGCGAACGGGUGAGUAACACGUGGGCAAUCUGCCCUUCACUCUGGGACAAGCCCUGGAAACGGGGUCUAAUACCGGAUAACACUCUGUCCCGCAUGGGACGGGGUUAAAAGCUCCGGCGGUGAAGGAUGAGCCCGCGGCCUAUCAGCUUGUUGGUGGGGUAAUGGCCUACCAAGGCGACGACGGGUAGCCGGCCUGAGAGGGCGACCGGCCNCACUGGGACUGAGACACGGCCCAGACUCCUACGGGAGGCAGCAGUGGGGAAUAUUGCACAAUGGGCGAAAGCCUGAUGCNGCGACGCCGCGUGAGGGAUGACGGCCUUCGGGUUGUAAACCUCUUUCAGCAGGGAAGAAGCGAAA